This 1925-nucleotide long non-coding RNA is filed under the name Scleropages formosus (Asian bonytongue). RNAcentral describes it as "lncRNA (ENSSFOG00015025309.1)". Lineage: Eukaryota; Metazoa; Chordata; Actinopteri; Osteoglossiformes; Osteoglossidae. The record is from RNAcentral.
CGGAUGUCCUACUCUGGAUUCGGGACAGAGAUCACCGAGGAGGAUGACACAGUUCCACCAGCCAAUGCCUGCCAAAGCUGCCAAGAGGCUGAUGUCCGUGCCAUCUAAGCAGGCGGAUCCUGGCCAAACCCAGCUGAGCAAGUCCGCACCCAGCCUGAUGGAGCAGUCACCGGAUUCCAGCUGGUUGCUCCGGAUUCGGGCUCACAUCCACACACGACUUGGGGGAAGUGAAAUGGAAGCAGAAAUCCAAGGAAUAGAGGGUUCACGGCCUUUUCCGUGUCCCAGACCAGUAAGGACCCCCAAGCUACUGGCUCCAUUGGACCAUGGACAGAGGGAAAUAGCUCCGCUACCGAUGUUCAGGGACCCUUGGCCCCCAAAAGUCACCCCUCUUUUGCCUUCUACCUUGACAAUUAGUACAAGGAGAGAAUGGCAGAGCAGGAGAGCAUCUCAAGUGCUUCCAAUAACCUGGGGAUGCAGCGACGGAAGAAGUUCUAGUAGUGUGAGCAGCCAAGGCUCCCUGGAUCUGGAGGCCAAUGCCAAGUUCUUAGGGACUCCACCAAACCAGAAGGACUCGCUAAAGGUGGAGCCUUCUGUUAAAGGUGCUUGUGAGAACUAUGACAUGGACCUGCCAUUAUCAGUGUGCUCAGCACUAGAGGAAACAGGAACAAAUCUAAGACCUUUGGAUUCUGAUAAAAGCCAAGGAAUUGAUGACAAGAGUGCAGCGGAGAGCAUAUUCAUCAUAUAUCAAACUGAAUGGAAGGAAGACUGGGAUACGCUUCCCAGAAGUGCUGAAACAAGGUCAUCAGGUGGCAUAGAGACAACAUGCUACUGCCAGGAUAAUGACGGAGUCAAGCUUUGCAAUUCAAGUUGUGUAGAAGAAACAAUUCUAGAUAACGUAAAUGACCCAGAUGAGCUGUUAGAGGAAGACGUUAGACCCGGAGAAUGUGAGGUAGACUCUGUGAUUCCAGAAAGCCAUGGAGACAACAUCAUACAGCUCAAAGACUGCGACAACAAGGGACAGUCAGCACGCAACCCACUACACACCAAGCAACUGGUUUCCACAGUCACCAUCACAUUGCCUGAGUCUGAUCAUCUUACCGAAGUGAAGCACAAGGCUAUGAAGAUGCUAAAGAACAAGGACAGGGCUUGUUCCGUUGCCAAUCUCACAAAUCAGCUGUCCAAUGCACAACCAUGCAAAGAACAAAGCUGGCGCAACAGAAAGUCCAAGAGCCACCCGAGGAACACGAACGCACCUGCACCAUCAAAGGCUAACAGCAGAAGACCUCCAGAUGUCAUCGUCAGUGGAAAGGGUGCUGUAAAAUUAGGUGUCUAUACCACAAAUGCAGAAAAGGUCAGUAAGAAACGUUCUCCGCUUCCUUUGUUGCAUGAUGCGCCGGUGGAAGCUCUCAGAGAAAACGUGAAACACACCAGCGCUGACAAGCAAAACUCGACAAAGUCUGAAUCCACAGGUCAAAAACAGCUAGUUCAGCAGGAGAUAAGAAGCACAUGGCAGCCCAAGAGAGCAGCUGUGGCAGAGAACCUAAGAGCAAAAUCAGCUGUCGAAUACAUUGCCUACACUGACAUGUUCCAGGAGAUCAAUGGUAGGGAUGAGGGACCUGCCAUCUAUGAAAUGUUCGCCACCCCUGUAUAUACAAACCUCAGACUGUCCACCAUGUAUGAGAAGGUCCACAACAGGGAAAUCAAGUCUGCUCCAGCCAGGAAGAACCAUGUGCGCAGGAGCAGCAAAUGUCCCAAACCUCUGGAGAAGAAACAAAAUAAAACCCAGGGGGUGAAAGUGAAGAAUAGAGCAGGUGUUCUGCCAAAGGGGAAAUCUCGCCGGUUACUGGUCAGAGAUGUUGAGCAGGAGAACGUGGUCUUGGUCAAUCGGCCUAUUCAGCUGUCUAAGGCUGAGAUGGUCUUUGAAG